RNAcentral lists this ribosomal RNA (305 nucleotides) under uncultured bacterium. RNAcentral describes it as "bacterial SSU rRNA". It matches the Rfam family "Bacterial small subunit ribosomal RNA", at positions 333 to 652 of the family's 1533-position model. The record is from RNAcentral.
UUGCGCCUACGGGGGGCAGCAGUGGGGAAUAUCGGGCAAUGGGCGCAAGCCUGACCCAGCAACGCCGCGUGAAGGAAGAAGGCUUUCGGGUUGUAAACUUCUUUUCUCAGGGACGAAGAAAGUGACGGUACCUGAGGAAUAAGCCACGGCUAACUACGUGCCAGCAGCCGCGGUAAUACGUAGGUGGCAAGCGUUAUCCGGAUUUAUUGGGUGUAAAGGGCGUGUAGGCGGGAGCGCCAGUCAGAUGUGAAAACUCAGGGGUCAAACCUGGGCCUGCCUUUGAAACUGUGUUUCAUGAGUGCUGG